CAAAGUGUGCUGUCGUCUUAACUAUACUACAGUUGUAAAAGUUAAUCAAGUUUUUAGUUGUUUAUUUUUCAUUUUGUUUGCAACUUUUUCCCUACCUUACAUAUCAAAACAUAAACUGGGCUUCAGCUGAGGAACAUGGUGAACGUAGUAUUUCCAACGAAUCCGACUGGAUUUAAACCUCGAACCUUUGGUUCCUGAGACAAUUAUCCAAUGACAAGAUAUGUUUUUGGCAUCAAGAACUAUUUCUCGAAUAGGAAAAUUUGCUUCAUAUAUAUUUUGUAAAAUAUAUUAAAAAAAGAUUUUUAGAUGAUAUUUAUAUCCUCAUUAAAGUUUAUAUAGCUCCCGUCUUGGUCUAAAAGUUGCUCUUUAAAUAAAUUUAAGUUAUUGUUGCUAUAAAUCCGUUUUUUUAAUGUUAUUUUACCAUUCGUAUUUGUUUUGUGGUCAGCGCCUCAGCAGAAAAAAAUUGGAAAGUGAUCCGAAACAUCAGUUUUUAUAAUACCUUUUUUGAGUGUAAUAUUAAAAUAGUCAUUGGUAAGAACGUUGUCAAUUAAGGAGGAUGAAGACUUUGUAAUUCUAUUUUUAGGUACUCAGUUCUUCCGGUUGGUGGCCGAUAACAGCAGCUUAGUAAAACAUUUUUAGAUUUUUUAUUUAUUAUUUCAACCGUUAAAAUCUCAAUAUUAUCAUCAGAAACACUCAUAUCGCUUCGAAUAUUAUACGCAAAGUUUUCUUUUAUGUAAAAAAGAACUCCUCCUCCACGCUUAUUAACAUUACGCUAUAAGAAGACUGUAUUAAAACCUGUAAGAUGGAGAUUAGAGUUUGAUUUAAAAUCUUCAAG
Hydra vulgaris (swiftwater hydra) is the source of this 835-nucleotide long non-coding RNA. RefSeq lists it as uncharacterized. NCBI's taxonomy places the organism in Eukaryota, Metazoa, Cnidaria, Hydrozoa, Anthoathecata, Hydridae. The record is from RefSeq and is a predicted model, not a curated record.